UAGCUAACGGCAGCUAGCUAACGCGUUAGCUUCCGUUAACUAACGUGUUAGCUUCCGUUAACUAGCUUCCAUUCAAGUAUCUACAACUACUUCGUGUUCUACAACCUUGGCUCAUGUAUUUAUGUUUUCAUCUUAUUUUCAACUGCCCGUUUUGCAUUUAGUUUCUCUGUUUCUCGUUUUGAAGAAAAAAAGAGGGAAAACGCAGACAGGAAACGGAAGUGAUGCGCCAACAGGUUUCACCCACUUCAAAAAGCUGUAAAACGUGAUGGUCAAACAAGAUGGCCGCCCCCAGCGAUGCAGCGUGACAUCACACAAAGCUGAUGAUCAGUAGAGCAGGAUGUGAAGCAGUCGAACUGAAACACUCACACAUUCAGAAGCUUGUCUGGUUCUUCCCGGAGAGCCGGCCGCCGUCUGAGGGAUCGG
Poeciliopsis prolifica (blackstripe livebearer) is the source of this 423-nucleotide long non-coding RNA. RefSeq lists it as uncharacterized. The transcript is spliced from 3 exons. The record is from RefSeq and is a predicted model, not a curated record. Lineage: Eukaryota; Metazoa; Chordata; Actinopteri; Cyprinodontiformes; Poeciliidae.